AUGCAGUAAUGUGUGGGUCAGAGGAUAAGCAGUAAUGUAGUAAUGAGGUAAUGAAGCUAUGGAGUAAUGUGUGGGUCAGAUGAUAAGCAGUAAUGUAGUAACGAGGUAAUGAAGCUAUGCAGUAAUGUGUGGGUCAGAUGAUAAGCAGUAAUGUAGUAACGAUGUAAUGAAGCUAUGCAGUAAUGUGAGUCAGAGGAUAAGCAGUGAUUUAGUAAUGAGGUAAUGAAGCUAUGCAGUGAUGUAGUAAUGAGGUAAUGCAGUAAUGUAGUAACGAGGUAAUGAAGCUAUGCAGUAAUGUGUGAGUCAGAGGAUAAGCAGUGAUUUAGUAAUGAGGUAAUGAAGCUAUGCAGUGAUGUAGUAAUGCAGUAAUGUAGUAAUGAAGCUAUGCAGUAAUGUGUGGGUCAGAGGAUAAGCAGUAAUGUAGUAAUGAGGUAAUGAAGCUAUGCAGUAAUGUAGUAACGAGGUAAUGAAGCUAUGCAGUAAUGUGUGGGUCAGAGGAUAAGCAGUGAU
This is a long non-coding RNA of Oncorhynchus tshawytscha (Chinook salmon), 510 nucleotides long. Lineage: Eukaryota; Metazoa; Chordata; Actinopteri; Salmoniformes; Salmonidae. The record is from Ensembl.